Molecule: ribosomal RNA, 569 nt
Filed under: uncultured bacterium
Lineage: Bacteria
Description: partial 16S ribosomal RNA
Rfam family: Bacterial small subunit ribosomal RNA
Source: RNAcentral
UGGGGAAUAUUGCACAAUGGGCGCAAGCCUGAUGCAGCCAUGCCGCGUGUGUGAAGAAGGCCUUCGGGUUGUAAAGCACUUUCAGCGAGGAGGAAGGUGGUGAACUUAAUACGUUCAUCAAUUGACGUUACUCGCAGAAGAAGCACCGGCUAACUCCGUGCCAGCAGCCGCGGUAAUACGGAGGGUGCAAGCGUUAAUCGGAAUUACUGGGCGUAAAGCGCACGCAGGCGGUUUGUUAAGUCAGAUGUGAAAUCCCCGGGCUCAACCUGGGAACCGCAUUUGAAACUGGCAAGCUAGAGUCUCGUAGAGGGGGGCUAGAAUUCCAGGUGUAGCGGUGAAAUGCGUAGAGAUCUGGAGGAAUACCGGUGGCGAAGGCGGCCCCCCUGGACGAAGACUGACGCUCAGGUGCGAAAGCGUGGGGCAGCAAACAGGAUUAGAUACCCUGGUAGUCCACGCUGUAAACGAUGUCGAUUUGGAGGUUGUGCCCCUUGAGGCGUGGCUUCCGGAGCUAACGCGUUAAAUCGACCGCCUGGGGAGUACGGCCGCAAGGUUAAAACUCAAAUGAAUUG